This 724-nucleotide ribosomal RNA is filed under the name uncultured bacterium. RNAcentral's name for it is "bacterial SSU rRNA". It matches the Rfam family "Bacterial small subunit ribosomal RNA", at positions 771 to 1501 of the family's 1533-position model. The record is from RNAcentral.
AACAGGAUUAGAUACCCUGGUAGUCCACGCCCUAAACGAUGUCUACUAGUUGUCGGGUUUUAAUUAACUUGGUAACGCAGCUAACGCGUGAAGUAGACCGCCUGGGGAGUACGGUCGCAAGAUUAAAACUCAAAGGAAUUGACGGGGACCCGCACAAGCGGUGGAUGAUGUGGAUUAAUUCGAUGCAACGCGAAAACCUUACCUACCCUUGACAUGGAAGGAAUCCCGGAGAGAUCUGGGAGUGCCCGAAAGGGAACCUUCACACAGGUGCUGCAUGGCUGUCGUCAGCUCGUGUCGUGAGAUGUUGGGUUAAGUCCCGCAACGAGCGCAACCCUUGUCAUUAGUUGCUACGCAAGAGCACUCUAAUGAGACUGCCGGUGACAAACCGGAGGAAGGUGGGGAUGACGUCAAGUCCUCAUGGCCCUUAUGGGUAGGGCUUCACACGUCAUACAAUGGUACAUACAGAGGGCCGCCAACCCGCGAGGGGGAGCUAAUCCCAGAAAGUGUAUCGUAGUCCGGAUUGUAGUCUGCAACUCGACUACAUGAAGUUGGAAUCGCUAGUAAUCGCGGAUCAGCAUGUCGCGGUGAAUACGUUCCCGGGUCUUGUACACACCGCCCGUCACACCAUGGGAGCGGGUUUUACCAGAAGUAGGUAGCUUAACCGCAAGGAGGGCGCUUACCACGGUAGGAUUCGUGACUGGGGUGAAGUCGUAACAAGGUAACC